GUGGGGAAUAUUGGACAAUGGGGGGAACCCUGAUCCAGCCAUGCCGCGUGUGUGAAGAAGGCCUUUUGGUUGUAAAGCACUUUAAGCGAGGAGGAGGCUACCGAGAUUAAUACUCUUGGAUAGUGGACGUUACUCGCAGAAUAAGCACCGGCUAACUCUGUGCCAGCAGCCGCGGUAAUACAGAGGGUGCGAGCGUUAAUCGGAUUUACUGGGCGUAAAGCGUGCGUAGGCGGCUUUUUAAGUCGGAUGUGAAAUCCCCGAGCUUAACUUGGGAAUUGCAUUCGAUACUGGGGAGCUAGAGUAUGGGAGAGGAUGGUAGAAUUCCAGGUGUAGCGGUGAAAUGCGUAGAGAUCUGGAGGAAUACCGAUGGCGAAGGCAGCCAUCUGGCCUAAUACUGACGCUGAGGUACGAAAGCAUGGGGAGCAAACAGGAUUAGAAACCCCGGUAGUCC
Molecule: ribosomal RNA, 451 nt
Filed under: uncultured bacterium
Lineage: Bacteria
Description: partial 16S ribosomal RNA
Rfam family: Bacterial small subunit ribosomal RNA
Source: RNAcentral